This 1160-nucleotide long non-coding RNA is filed under the name Oryzias javanicus (javanese ricefish). RNAcentral describes it as "lncRNA (ENSOJAG00000009119.1)". The record is from RNAcentral. Lineage: Eukaryota; Metazoa; Chordata; Actinopteri; Beloniformes; Adrianichthyidae.
GGUCACCAUGGCAACCGACCGGCGCCUUCAAGGGAUGCUGCAAUCAGAAACAGCAUAACUUCAAGACCGUCGUGACAUCAUGUCAUGGCUGUAAAAAGAGCAUAGGUGCGACCCUGACGCUGCCUUCAGAGCCCAAUCGGAAAUGAUAACACCUGUGUCACGGUCAAAACAGCAAGUGGUGAGAUUUGAGAUAUAUUCAGUCAGACUUCAUCUAUGCAUUGAAAAAAAAAAAAACAUGUCAGCUUGAUAUCAGCUCAGUUUUGUCUCCAUAUGAAGUUGUAACGGUUGGUAAAACGAGCAGUUAUGAGUGAGUUGAGAUAAUGAAGCGCUAGCUAAAAGGGUAUUUAAAUGUUAUGGAUUCACACGAACACGGAGGGAAACAUGCCUGAGUCUGAGUCAUGCGUGAGUCUGCGCGCGUGUGUCGGAGCGGCUCGUUUCUGACCGUCCCUGAACGCACCACCGGCUCCUCCGCCCGCAGACGGAGGCGCGGGUUGACGCACGCGGCAGUUCAGGGAGCGUCUCCGCAGACGCUGAGCGGCGCAGCGGAGGCUCGGCGUCCGUUUGACGCGCGCACACUCGCCUGGAUGUCGACCGUCCCAGCCCGGUGGUCGCCGAACGCUUCCAUGAGUCCGCAGACAUCCGGGAGGGGCAGCCGGUCCGACAGACAGUUGAAGUCUCCUCCAGGAAGAGAACCCUUCUCCUAACAGUGGAGGGAACAGCUGCCGGUAGUCUCUGCCUCCCAUUCGUUGCCCCGAUGCUUGCGUUCGGCCUGCCCUUCUGCACCAGCAACCGCACAGACAGAGCAUCAGAACACGGCAUGACCGAGGCUCAGCACGCCUCCGAGGCCGGAGCCCGCCAAAGACCGAGCAGCACCACCUUCUCUCUGGGACAAAGUUGACGGACAGACGGCUCCUCCAGCUUUGGGAUAGACAUUUGCGUGUGAAGGGCUUUCCCUCUGGGAUCGAGCUGUGGAAGAGUUUAUGGGAAGAUGGCAGCAGGAGCAGAGGGAAGUCCGCAUCAGCACCAGAGGAGGAAAGCUUUGCUGCACGGAUUGGAGGACCAGAAAAGGGUGAGUUAAGCCCUUCAACCAAUGAAAGUUCUAAAAAUGAUGCAAACGAGUGUGAGGUACGAUUGCUAUGGAGAAAAGUUUUAGUUUGAAC